CUCCUGCGCCCCUCUUUUCUUCCCUAUCAACUGCAGACUAAUCAUCUGAUAUUUGGAUAACUGAUCUUUAAUCAUCUGCUCAUCGAGUUUAGGAUUUCGAUCUGUUUAAGUUAUCAUCAGUUUCUUCGAUUUUAGGGUUCAUCAUCUGUUAAAUCAGAUUUUAGGAAUUCAUUUAAAUUAGGGUUUUGUUCUUGAUUUGGUUGCGAUUUGUAGGUGUUGUUGAAUGAUGUAUUUGGUCAUUUCGGGAGAAAUGGAAGUUUGUUGCUGAGGAGUAUUCUUUGCUAGAGAGCUUGCUGAAGAUGGUUACUCUGGUGUUGAAGUUAGGGUUACUCUUAUCAUCCCGUGAGAAAUGAAAUCAUCAUCAGAUCUAACUCAAGAUUUUGAUUUAGUUUUGUGAUAUAUUUGAAUCUGAAAGUAGAGUUUUUAAUCAUACUGUGUAACUGGAUUUGGGUUUUGUUUGUUUGUUUUGAUUGAAGGAGUAAGUUGGUGAUUGAAGAAAACAUAGAUUGAAAAUGGUGGAGAAGCAUAUAUCUUGUUGUGAGUAUUAAUCUUCUGUCAACAUUCUGCCGGUUUCAAUGUAAUUUAGCUAAUGUCAUAUACAAUUUAUUCGUCGAAUGUGAAUCAUAUGGGUUGUGUUAAAAUUGAUGAUUUACUAAUUAUGGUUCAACAAUGGGAAUCUGUUGUUCAACAAUGGAUCGAUUGUCUUCGUCAUGAACCCAUUGCUAAUCUUCUUCAAAUCCCAUCUGGAGUUAGUCAGUUUUGGUGCUUUGCAUGGUUGGCUAGCUGCAGUUCCUUUUUAAGCUUGCUCAGCUUAUAUUGGUGAUGUACGAUAUCAGUUUGGCAACAUCAACUCUUUUUAAGCUUAGUAAUUAUUAAAGGAAUUACAGUUUUGGUUCUUUCCCAGAGACGGUAAUUAGAAAGUAUACGAAACAGAUGUUGCUGGGGCUAGAGUAUCUUCAUAAGAACGGCAUCACGCAUAGGGACAUCAAGGGGGCAAACAUUCUUGUAGAUAACAAUGGUGGUAUCAAGCUUGCUGACUUUGGAGCAAGUUGUUGAGCUGGCCACAAUUUCAGGUGCCAAGUCAAUGAAGGGUACCCCAUACUGGAUGGCUCCCGAAGUCAUUCUCCAAACGGGACAUAGCUUUUCUGCUGAUAUUUGGAGUUUUGGAUGUACUAUGAUUGAGAUGGCUACUGGAAAACCUCCUUGGAGUCGACAGUUCCAAGAGGUUGCUGCUCUAUUUCACAUUGGGACGACAAAAUCUCAUCCACCCAUCCCUGAGCAUCUGUCAGUGGAGGCAAAGGAUUUUCUUUUGAAAUGUUUGCUGAACAUUUUCUUUCUUGUUAGAUUACGACAUGUACGAGGGAGGGGAUGAAUAAGAUCUCUUUGACAGGAUGUGAUGCUCGCAUUUUUUGCUUGUGGGUCAGAAUUGCAAAGCGCCGAACAGUUCAGCAGGUUCUCAAGUUGAUACCAAAAGAGAUGGAUGGUGAGCGUUUUGAAGAUGCACAUGCCUGUGUUUGUCGUUGCAUAGGGGGUUGUAAUGAUGCGGAAAAUGCAAAUAGUGAUAGUGAUCUGGAAGUUGUUGCAGAUUCAGUUACUGUAAACUUGCGUUGUCCUUGGCAGUGCCCCAUUUGCAUCAAAAACUACACCUUGGAGCAUAUGAUCAUUGACCCGUAUUCCAAUCGCAUCACAGCCAUGGUACUGCUUACUCUUCAUCUCCUGUUUUCCCAAUGGUAUUGGCACGCCUAUAAAAAAAUUCGUAACGGCUCAUCUCUGUUACGAAAUUUUAAAAAAUUAGUAACGGCUUCAUCCUGUUACGAAUCCGGGAAUUUGGUGUAGUGAUUUAGACCUUUCCAGUUAAAGUUUUCAAAAUGACUAGAAUUGAUGGCUAAAUUCGCUAAGUUGACUGUUGUUAUGUUGACCUUUAGUGAUUUUGUUCAGACUACCCAGGACAAAAGAAACCUCCUCAAAAUCUCCAUCCCUCGUUUAGUGGAAUCCUAGGUUAACUCUUCCUUGGACUUUAUUGUUAUAUUCUUCCUUCAAUUCCAUCAGAGUUGUAUCAUCUUCUUCUUUAAAGUCAAUGUUGGUUCUUUGCAACUUCUUGGCCCAUUGAAAAAAACUCCAUUCCUCUUCUAGCUCUGCUGACUCCAGUGACACUGUUUUUGAUGUUUUUUUCUCCCACAUAUUUUUCUCCAAAAGGACGUUGACAUUACAAUCAAGGCAUAGUUCGUAUAAGGUUGAUAGCUAGCAUCUCCUUUAUGUUAGAAUAUAUCAUAGAAGUGAUCUUGAUAAUUAUUCAAAAGUUUAUUUUAUGAUUUCUCAUUAUCCUUUCCACAUUUUCCUGGUCAUCUCUCUGAUAAUAGAGAUUGUUGAGAACGUGGCUUUGGUUAUGCAUGACUCUGUUAAAAUAGCAGAGGUGUUGUUUUAUUCCUUUGGUAGUAGAAGCAUCAGUCCGUUGAAUUUUCUAAAAACAAAUUCACAUCUAGCUUUCCAGAUGAACCAGAAAAUAGUAGCAAAGGUGGGGAUCCAGUCUUUCUUAGGAUUUUGAGGUUGGAACCAAGUGUUGAGCCAUUCAGAGAAGCAGGUGGAAUCACCAAACAUCUGGUGUUGAUGACCAAAUAGAUUAUUCCAGAUAGCAGCAACAUGAGGGUAGGAGAUACGAGUAUGAGUUAAGUCCUCCUUAGCACUGUUACACAAAAACUGAGGAUGCUAGUUGUUUUAGAAUUGGUGGGCAAUAUUCCAUGAGCACAUUUCCAUAUAAACAUUUGUAUAGAUGGUGAAAUAUUCAGACUCCAAAUCUGCUUCCAUGCUGGGUUAUAGAUGUCAUAUUUGUAUUUGUCAUAAAAAUUUCCUAUCAUAAAGAGAUUUGAUAGUAAACUCUCCAUUAUCUAUGAAGCUCCAGAUAAUUUUAUCUUCCUCCUGCGAGUUUAUUAUGGUAUUUUGAAAAGCAACUUGAGUAUCCUCGGAGAAACAAAUGGCAGGGAUGCAAAACUUUCAUUUUAUUCUAUCAUUGAUGAGUUGAUUAAGUAUUAUCAGGUCACUGAAAGAGUAUAGAUUUUAGGAAUAAUGUUGGACUUGUGAUUCCAUCUGUCUUCUCAAAUUCUAAUUUGUUAACCAUUUUCCACAAUCCAGCUGUAAUACUUCUGAAUGUUUCCUACUCCUUCCAGAAUACCUUUCCAUAUCGAAGAGUCAGUUCUUUUUGGUUUGGUGUCAUUCUAAUCAGAUAUUCAUCUUUGAAAUAGUUAGCUUUCAUAGUAGAGGACCAUAGAGAAUUUGGCUCCGAGAUUAGCCUCCAUCCUAUUCUAGGUAUCAUUGCACUAUUAAAGAACUUCAUGAUUCUGAAACCCAACCCUCAUAAUUUUUAGGUUGACAAACAUAACCCGAAACAAUAAAGUAUAGAUCUUUGGGUUUCUCAGGAUCCUUUUUUCCAGAAGAAGUCUCUUUGAAGACUAUCAAUCUCCUGACAAUUUCUUUUUGGUAUC
Molecule: long non-coding RNA, 3479 nt
Organism: Papaver somniferum (opium poppy)
Lineage: Eukaryota; Viridiplantae; Streptophyta; Magnoliopsida; Ranunculales; Papaveraceae
Exons: 11
Source: RefSeq, a predicted model, not a curated record